CAGAUACUGGCUGAUAUACCUACCUAUUCCGCAUCCGCAACCCGACGCUCCAGCUUUGCCUAAAAUGCUAAAGGGUAGCACAUUGAAAGCCCUGGACGUCAGAAUCCUACGGCCCCUUAUUGAAACAAGGUCAGCAGCGGAGGACAGCAGCGCAGUUUCUCCAGCAGCAUCCACCGGUCCUACAUAACAUUCAAUGAUUUCCGCAAAAAACACCGCUGGUACACUAAGAAGGAGCUUGUGGGGUACUCCAUGCAGGACAUGUACAGCGUGGUUUCCGACGUCAGCAAUUACCACAAGUUCGUGCCGUAUGUGAAGCGCUCCGAUGUCCACAGCCA
Molecule: unclassified non-coding RNA, 335 nt
Filed under: Drosophila erecta
Lineage: Eukaryota; Metazoa; Arthropoda; Insecta; Diptera; Drosophilidae
Description: GG23213
Source: RNAcentral